AGUUUGUCAUGGCUCAGAACGAACGCUGGCGGCAGGCCUAACACAUGCAAGUCGAGCGCGCAGCAAUGCGAGCGGCGGACGGGUUAGUAACGCGUGGGAACGUACCCUUUUCUACGGAAUAGCCUCGGGAAACUGAGAGUAAUACCGUAUACGCCCUUCGGGGGAAAGAUUUAUCGGAGAAGGAUCGGCCCGCGUCUGAUUAGGUAGUUGGUGAGGUAAUGGCUCACCAAGCCUACGAUCAGUAGCUGGUUUGAGGGGAUGAUCAGCAAACACUGGGACUGAGACACCGGCCCAGACUCCUACGGGAGGCAGCAGGUGGGGAAUCUUAGACAAUGGGGGCAACCCUGAUCUAGCCAUGCCGCGUGAGUGAUGAAGGCCUUAGGGUCGUAAAGCUCUUUCGCCGGGGAAGAUAAUGACGGUACCCGGUAAAGAAACCCCGGCUAACUCCGUG
RNAcentral lists this ribosomal RNA (451 nucleotides) under uncultured bacterium. RNAcentral's name for it is "bacterial SSU rRNA". It matches the Rfam family "Bacterial small subunit ribosomal RNA", at positions 10 to 507 of the family's 1533-position model. The record is from RNAcentral.